Molecule: long non-coding RNA, 1016 nt
Filed under: Elaeis guineensis (African oil palm)
Lineage: Eukaryota; Viridiplantae; Streptophyta; Magnoliopsida; Arecales; Arecaceae
Description: long non-coding RNA (EGUI_LNC023955)
Source: RNAcentral
GAAUUCUUAACCUAUAAAGAGGAAGCUCUUCUCUCUCCCAGAAUCGAUCGCCUUCGCCUCAGCUUUUACUUCUCUCCCAAAGCUUUAGAUCACCCUGUUCUUUCAUGGAGAAACCUCUGGCAUCGUCUUCUCCUUGCCCAGGUCCCAACUUAUCCUCUGACGAUGAUAAGUUUUCCCAACGAUGGCCUUUUCGUCGCUGGAUUGGGAUGAAGAAGGGAAGAGAUGAGACUAAGGUAGGGAACGCUGAACCAAAAUCUUCCCGUGCGUCGAUAAAGAAGUCGCCGCAGGAGCAGCAGCAGCAGCAAAACGGGCUGAUGCCGCUACGGUUCGCGCCACAGUUCGAUGGGCUUCACUUGUUUGAGACCAUGGUCUCUCAUUAAGAUCUCUCUUUCAUUAUUUCGUGGCGUCUUUUUAUUUUUAUUUUUUUUUUAAAAAGAAGUCUUUUUGUCCUUCUUGUAGCUACCUCUAGGGAGAUCUUCGAUUGAUUAAGUUGUUAGCAGUGAAACUAUAUGUUAAGAAGCAAGAGUGUUGAUUCUGUAGGGUAUUAAGUUUAAUUAUAGCAUGAUUCUUUAUUUGCUGUCUUCUCGUUUUCAGCCUGGAAAUCCAUAACAGGAUUUCUCUCCAGAAAGAUAAAGAGCUUUUUUUUAAAAAAAAAAAAAUCAGUUGCUCAGAUAUCGUAUGACUAAACAUAAUUAAUUAUAUGAGCAAAUCUGGCAUUGAAUUCUCAGUCUAAUUUUUUUUAUUAGACAUGCAAGAACAAACAAAUUGAAUCAGCCCCUCGCUUUUUAAAGUUAGUGACUCAUUGAGUAGGUGAGACCACAAUCCAAAUAUUUGGAACGUUUUAGUGGAGCCGCGAGGGAUAGAACCGCGACGGGUUCAUAAAUCAGUCGGAAAUAAAUCUCGAAGCAGUUGAGGCCAUUGGUCCCAUGCAUGGUGUCCAACUAAUCCCGCGAAUUCAGCAUCCAUCGGCCUCCAAUCACUACUCUUUUCGAUCCUUGCCCUCCGCUCGUUCCUGG